CUCUCGGCAACGGAUAUCUAGGCUCUCGCAUCGAUGAAGAACGUAGCAAAAUGCGAUACUUGGUGUGAAUUGCAGAAUCCCGCGAAUCAUCGAGUUUUUGAACGCAAGUUGCGCCCGAAGCCAUUCGGCCGAGGGCACGUCUGCCUGGGUGUCACGCAUCGUUGC
This 165-nucleotide ribosomal RNA is filed under the name Quercus ilex. Its description in RNAcentral is "5.8S ribosomal RNA". It matches the Rfam family "5.8S ribosomal RNA". From Rfam's summary of the family: 5.8S ribosomal RNA (5.8S rRNA) is a component of the large subunit of the eukaryotic ribosome. It is transcribed by RNA polymerase I as part of the 45S precursor that also contains 18S and 28S rRNA. Lineage: Eukaryota; Viridiplantae; Streptophyta; Magnoliopsida; Fagales; Fagaceae. The record is from RNAcentral.